CAACAAUAAGCUCUCCUGUUGUUAGUCUUUUCUUUUGACCACCUGAUAUACCUCUUCUCAUGGCAUCACCAACCAAUGUUUCAGCACAAAUAUCAAGUCCAAGAAUCUUCAGAAUAUAAUCCGUUUGAAGAUUUGUCUUUUGUCCUUCAACAGCAAUCGCCUUCAUGUAAGUAUCUAUAUCUGGAUCAGGAACAAUUCCUGCUUCUUUCUCCCUUCUGCUUAGGUCAAUCAUAAUAUCUGCUCUGCUUCCGACUCCUUGAAAACAAGACGAAUAGUCUAAUGUUUCUCUAACAGUCAUUUCAGGGAUGUGUAGGUCAUUUUGGCUUAUAUAUGCAGAAGUUUUCUGUGGUACAAACUCCUCCAAUUUAUAGCCGUUAUAAGAAAUCUCCCCAG
This 393-nucleotide unclassified non-coding RNA is filed under the name Hevea brasiliensis (rubber tree). Lineage: Eukaryota; Viridiplantae; Streptophyta; Magnoliopsida; Malpighiales; Euphorbiaceae. The record is from RNAcentral.